This 491-nucleotide ribosomal RNA is filed under the name uncultured bacterium. RNAcentral's name for it is "partial 16S ribosomal RNA". It matches the Rfam family "Bacterial small subunit ribosomal RNA", at positions 29 to 507 of the family's 1533-position model. The record is from RNAcentral.
AGUGAACGCUGGCGGUAGGCCUAACACAUGCAAGUCGAACGGCAGCACAGUAAGAGCUUGCUCUUACGGGUGGCGAGUGGCGGACGGGUGAGGAAUACAUCGGAAUCUACUUUUUCGUGGGGGAUAACGUAGGGAAGCUUACGCUAAUACCGCAUACGACCUACGGGUGAAAGCAGGGGAUCUUCGGACCUUGCGCGAUUGAAUGAGCCGAUGUCGGAUUAGCUAGUUGGCGGGGUAAAGGCCCACCAAGGCGACGAUCCGUAGCUGGUCUGAGAGGAUGAUCAGCCACACUGGAACUGAGACACGGUCCAGACUCCUACGGGAGGCAGCAGUGGGGAAAUUGGACAAUGGGCGCAAGCCUGAUCCAGCCAUACCGCGUGGGUGAAGAAGGCCUUCGGGUUGUAAAGCCCUUUUGUUGGGAAAGAAAAGCAGCAGGUUAAUACCCCGCUGUUCUGACGGUACCCAAAGAAUAAGCACCGGCUAACUUCGUG